This 1367-nucleotide long non-coding RNA is filed under the name Numida meleagris (helmeted guineafowl). RNAcentral describes it as "lncRNA (ENSNMEG00000018491.1)". The record is from RNAcentral. Lineage: Eukaryota; Metazoa; Chordata; Aves; Galliformes; Numididae.
GCAGAUGAAAAUAAAAUGAUAGAAUAGUAGCUGUUUCUUAAACAUAUGCAUAGUUCAUAUUAAUGUGUUGUCAAUUUUCUUUAUUUUGUAUUGCCACAGGAUGAAAUCUUAUACUUCUGUGCCUGGCAAUGAAGUUUUAAUCACCUCAAUAUACAUCGUUCCACAAUAUAUAUUUUUCUGUCUACCAAAGACAUAAUGGCUCCUCCUUUUAUGGGAAACCAGGAUUUAAUCCAUCAAAUAAAUGACAGAAUUGGAGACCAUCCAGUGUCCUGCUCUGUGGAUGAAGUUGGAGUGGUCGGGCUCUCAGAAAGUUACUCCUACGCAUGGCAUUCUGGAUCCACUGACACAGAAGAUAAUUUCUCUGUAUUUUCUUUAAUGAACGACCUAUUAUGAAGAAGCAAGAAAAACCCAUACUGUACAAUUCUUCCACAGAUAAACUGGAGGGACGUCUAUGAGGGUGAGGAUUCCAAAUUUCAGGGAUGGAUCAUGGAAGAACACUCAGGAGGCAAUGACCUCUGGCAUUUGGAAGGCCAAAUAACAGUGGGAUAAGUGGCUUAGACAGAGUUAAGCAAGAGAGAAUGUUCCACCCCACACUGGCGUGGUGCUCUGCUCCACUCCAUUUCACGUCUCCAUGAAGUCAUGUCCCUAAAUCCAGAAAGUUUCCAUCAGAAAUGCUCAGUAUUGCAUGUUUAGUAUAACUCUUACACUCUGACAAAACUUCUGAAGCACAACAAAUUAAUCUGGAAAUUCGGAUCGCUUUCAAUGGUGCUAUACCAGGGAUAUAACAGCAGCUCCACAGAGAGAAGGUGGGAUCGUUGCAUCGAGGGAUUGAUUGCCAUGGAGGAAGACCAGAAAAUGGAUAAAUAACAGAAACAAAAGGAGCAGCAGAGAAGGUGGAAAGAGGAAACAGAAAUGGUGAAGUGAUACCAUAAUGCUCUACUGGCUCAAAAGCAAGGAAAAAUUAUGAAAGCAUUAAUUUAUUCAUUUUCAGCCAAAUGAAAACAAAAACAAAACAAAACAAACUAGUGCGUAAGAAGAGACAGAAAAUAGAGCAGAAAUUAGAACCUGUGAAGAAAACAGGCAGCAAAGGAAGAGGAAAUGAAGAGAAUGGUGAAACAAGUGCUGGAAGUAAAGGAGUGGUGGGGGGGAAAGGCAACACAAAGAGAUCUGAUGCAUGGGGCUUUUAGGUAAGUGAGUUUUAUUUGUGUAUGUCAUUUCCUACUUUUUAUUGCAUUUCUCUGGCAACCGUCCCACAGUUCCAUAACCUAUGGGUGGGUAGGAGGAGGUGGCUGAGAGGGCAAAAUGGUAGUUUUUGGCAGAAUAUUGACAUGACUUGAGUCAGGUCGUUACUUGUGGUUGUCAUUAGA